RNAcentral lists this non-coding RNA (27 nucleotides) under Bombyx mori (domestic silkworm). The record is from RNAcentral. Lineage: Eukaryota; Metazoa; Arthropoda; Insecta; Lepidoptera; Bombycidae.
UCUUUGAAACCAGGUGGGCGGGAGUGU